RNAcentral lists this long non-coding RNA (726 nucleotides) under Cyanistes caeruleus (blue tit). RNAcentral describes it as "lncRNA (ENSCCEG00000010738.1)". Lineage: Eukaryota; Metazoa; Chordata; Aves; Passeriformes; Paridae. The record is from RNAcentral.
CCUAUACCAUGUUAUGACCCAAGACUAGAGGUUUUUAGAGCCCAGUUUAUAAACAAAACCAUUUAAAAAUAAUUUUAGAAUUUGGCCUGUGUAAAUGUUAAUACAAUUUUGGAGCUAGAUCAGGAAUUUUGUCCUUGCAUAAAUGAGUUUGUGGUGCAAUGCAUGACUAGGGCUCUUCUGUGAUAUCAUAAUGAAAAUAACAGUAGUGUCACUGUAGUCCAGGGCACUCCUGAAGACCAUAGGAAAUUUUUUAACAGAGGAAGACAGCCAAGGAAAAGGUGGACAUGUGCUCUAUUAUGCAGAAAAUUUUCUCACCUCAGAAAUCCUCAUGGCAGCAAUUAAAAAAAAAAAAAAAACCCUAAAAAGAAUCACCCCACCAAAACCAACCCAAAACCUCAAGCCAAACUGGGAAUCACUGGAAGCACUGAGAACUAAAACAUGCAGUAGGCUGAGGGAUAAAAUACCAUUAUCCAAAGCAUCCCUUUGUAGGACUGCAGGUGCAGGGUUUCAUGGGCUCUGCCUUCAUUGUGCAAACCAAUUUGCAGCAUUCCCUCAUGCCAAGACACUUAUAUAUGGUUUUAUCAGGGGUGACAGUGAUUUAUUCAAAGAAAAAUUUCUGUCACAUUUCAUGGGAAUGUAAAACUUUCCUCCUUUAAAGCCCAAUGAAGGGAGGUGAAGACAUUUAUUUUUCAAAUGUAAUAAAAUGAACUUUAUAUUAUUAUUUCA